This 776-nucleotide ribosomal RNA is filed under the name uncultured Fusobacteriota bacterium. Its description in RNAcentral is "bacterial SSU rRNA". It matches the Rfam family "Bacterial small subunit ribosomal RNA", at positions 56 to 848 of the family's 1533-position model. Lineage: Bacteria; Fusobacteriati; Fusobacteriota. The record is from RNAcentral.
AGCAAGUCUUACUUGAUCCUUCGGGUGAAGGUGGCGGACGGGUGAUAACCGCGUUAAGACUUGCUUACAGACUGGGCACCAACAUUCUGGAAACGAAUGCUAAUACCGGAUAUUAUGACUGAGUCGCAUGAUUUGGUUAUGAAAGCUAUAUGCGCUGUGAGAGAGCUUUGCGUCCCAUUAGUUAGUUGGUGAGGUAACGGCUCACCAAGACGAUGAUGGGUACCGGCCUGAGAGGGUGAACGGCCACAAGGGGACUGAGACACGGCCCUUACUCCUACGGGAGGCACAUNGGGGAUAUAUUGGACAAUGGACCAAAAGUCUGAUCCAGCAAUUCUGUGUGCACGAUGAAUUUUUCGGAAUGUAAAGUGCUUUCAGUUGGGAAGAAGUCAGUGACGGUACCAACAGAAGAAGCGACGGCUAAUAUACGUGCCAGCACCGCGGUUUAUACGUAUGUCGCAAGCGUUAUCCGGAUUUAUUGGGCGUAAAGCGCGUCUAGGCGGUUUAGUAAGUCUGAUGUGAAAUAUGCGGGGCUCAACCCCGUAUUGCGUUGGAAACUGCUAAACUAGAGUACUGGAGAGGUAGGCGGAACUACAAGUGUAGUAGGUGAAAUUCGUAGUAUAUUUGUAGGAUAUGCCGAUGGGGAAGCCUAGCCUACUGGACUAGUAUACUGACGCUAAAGCGCGAAAGCGUGGGUAGCAAACUAGGAUUAGUAUACCCUGGUAGUCCUACGCCGUAAACGAUGAUUACUAGGUGUUGGGGGUCGAACCUCAGCGCCC